RNAcentral lists this ribosomal RNA (442 nucleotides) under beta proteobacterium SCGC AAA027-F22. Its description in RNAcentral is "bacterial SSU rRNA". It matches the Rfam family "Bacterial small subunit ribosomal RNA", at positions 364 to 798 of the family's 1533-position model. Lineage: Bacteria; Pseudomonadati; Pseudomonadota; Betaproteobacteria. The record is from RNAcentral.
UGCGACAAUGGGCGCAAGUCUGAUCCAGCCAUUCCGCGUGCAGGAUGAAGGCCUUCGGGUUGUAAACUGCUUUUGUACGGAACGAAAAGGUUUCUNUUAAUACUAGGAGCUCAUGACGGUACCGUAAGAAUAAGCACCGGCUAACUACGUGCCAGCAGCCGCGGUAAUACGUAGGGUGCAAGCGUUAAUCGGAAUUACUGGGCGUAAAGCGUGCGCAGGCGGUUAUGUAAGUCAGAGGUGAAAUCCCCGGGCUCAACCUGGGAACUGCCUUUGUGACUGCAUAGCUAGAGUACGGUAGAGGGGGAUGGAAUUCCGCGUGUAGCAGUGAAAUGCGUAGAUAUGCGGAGGAACACCGAUGGCGAAGGCAAUCCCCUGGACCUGUACUGACGCUCAUGCACGAAAGCGUGGGGAGCAAACAGGAUUAGAUACCCCGGUAGUCCGG